GAUGAAGAACGUAGCGAAAUGCGAUAAGUAGUGUGAAUUGCAGAAUUCAGUGAAUCAUCGAAUCUUUGAACGCACAUUGCGCCCUUUGGUAUUCCAAAGGGCAUGCCUGUUCGAGCGUCAUUUGUACCCUCAAGCUUUGCUUGGUGUUGGGCGUCUUGUCUCUAGCUUUGCUGGAGACUCGCCUUAAAGUAAUUGGCAGCCGGCCUACUGGUUUCGGAGCGCAGCACAAGUCGCACUCUCUAUCAGCAAAGGUCUAGCAUCCAUUAAGCCUUUUUUUCAACUUUUGACCUCGUAUCAGGUAGGGAUACCCGCUGAACUUAAGCAUAUCAAUAAGCGGAGGA
Molecule: unclassified non-coding RNA, 341 nt
Filed under: soil metagenome
Description: partial contains 5.8S ribosomal RNA, internal transcribed spacer 2, and large subunit ribosomal RNA
Rfam family: 5.8S ribosomal RNA (bases 1-120)
Source: RNAcentral